CAUCAGAGUUCUCCCGGUUCCUCCCAGCGAAUCACACAGCAGCUUGGUCAGCUUGCUUUCACGGUACGGGACGUGCCUGUCCCUGCCCUUGGCGUCCACCAGGGCGGCGAUACACUUGCCUGUGGUGAGGAGGCUGCGGUUGAUGUUUCCCGCCUCCUCCAGAAGCUCCGCCUUGCAGCCCGUGACCUUCACCCGCUCGCUGCCUGCCAGGUCCACCAAACUCAGCUUUCCCUGGGUGGCCCCGCCCCCUUCCACGCCCACCUGGAGGGGGGGGGAGGGGUGGACAUAGGCAGGUGAGCACUUCCUCAAACAUUUUUUUUGACCUGCAUAUAUAUUCUUGUUCUUUCUGGAGGAGGAGAGGGGCUCACUGAUUGGCUCCCGACAUAGACGGUCAGGAUGGCGUGACCGCGACUCGACCGCUCGUUUAGGAGGUGGGAGGAGGUGUGCCUCCUCCUCUGGCCUGGAACAGAAGAGACGCAGACACACGGAUGGUUUGAGGACGAACAGGCGGACGGACGAACGGACGAACAUUGUCAUGACGACCUCAUGCCACACCGUCGCACCCACCCUCCGCCAGGAGCUUGUUGAAGUCGUCCAGGCUGCGGAACUCCACCGGGGCCAGGUUCUCCACACGGAACCCUUGGGUUCCGCUCCCUCUGACGGUUAGCGGGCAGUGCGGCCGGGGGUCCAGGAGGUCCCGCACCUGCGGGGGGGACAGGUGGAGUCUGCUGUGGGUGGGAGCCGGAACCAGAACCAGAACCAAAACCAGAACCGAAACAGGAACUGAACCAGAACCAGAACCGAAACAUGAACUGAUCCAGAACCAGAACCGAAACAUGAACUGAUCCAGAACUAGAACCAGAACCGAAACAGGAACUGAACCAGCAUCAGACACAGAACAAAAAACAACUCUUCCCCUCUGCACUCACGACCCUUGACCCCCCUAGUCACCUGCUCAUUGUAGAUCUCCAGGUAGGAGGCCUGGAGGGUGACCCCCCCACCUGUGGGACACACCUGCAGCAGGUGGGACAGGCACCUCUGCAUCAGCCCGUGAGAGGGGAGUCCAUGUGCGCCCUGCUGGAACUGCAGGGGGGAGACAGAGAGGAGGCUAGGGCUGCUCGACUGGGAGUAAGAACUGGGAAUGUCAGAACUGGGAAUGUCAGGACCGGGAAUGUCAGAUCUGGGAAUAUCGUGUCAGGGAAAUGUUCUGUGCUGAGAUGUGGGAAUGCUACGGUACCACAGAGUGGGGUCCGGUGAUGGUGAAGGUUUUCCCCGAUCCGGUCUGUCCGAAAGCAAACACUGUACAUGAGUACCUGCAAAAAAAAAAACGAAACAUUCCUGAAACAAGGCAUGUCCUUGGACUAGUGCCAGUACACAUACAUACCGCAUAAAACACAAAAAUAGAACAAG
Long non-coding RNA from Anguilla rostrata (American eel), 1410 nucleotides. RefSeq lists it as uncharacterized. The record is from RefSeq and is a predicted model, not a curated record. The transcript has 2 exons. NCBI's taxonomy places the organism in Eukaryota, Metazoa, Chordata, Actinopteri, Anguilliformes, Anguillidae.